GCAGUCUGUCUCUUUUCCUCUCAUGCAUGUUUCUUGACUCCACCUUCCACAAUCCUCUGUGAAAUAAAUCUUACUCCACAUUGAAUUCAUUCAGUGGGAAGACGAUUUUAAAAAUCUAUGAGGAGAAAAAUCACAUAAGAUGAAGACUGUGGUUAUAUUGCCGUUGUUUCUCCUGACACUGGCCCUGGUCUUUGACAGCUGUCUUCCAGCAGAUGAUAGUGGGGGCAGCAG
Long non-coding RNA from Clarias gariepinus (North African catfish), 231 nucleotides. RefSeq lists it as uncharacterized. The transcript has 3 exons. The record is from RefSeq and is a predicted model, not a curated record. Lineage: Eukaryota; Metazoa; Chordata; Actinopteri; Siluriformes; Clariidae.